RNAcentral lists this long non-coding RNA (1493 nucleotides) under Phaseolus vulgaris (common bean). Its description in RNAcentral is "long non-coding RNA (PVUL_LNC004113)". The record is from RNAcentral. Lineage: Eukaryota; Viridiplantae; Streptophyta; Magnoliopsida; Fabales; Fabaceae.
UUUAAGAAAAAGAUAAAUUUAUAAACUUCUAUUUUACACAUUUAAACAAAAUAAAAUUCUCUUUACAACCAUCAUAUCACUCACAAACUUCAAUAAACUUUCUUCACAAAUUCACUUUGAUAUACCAUAAUCCAAACAACCUCACUUUCUUUACACUUUCCUCUAAAAUCACUCCAAAUUCACUUUCUCAAAUCUUCUUCUCAAUCCAAUGGUUAUGCAAUAAAGGAGGGUAUUAUAAUAUUUUUGCUUAUAGUAUGGGUUGUAGUUAGUAAUCAUGGGGUGCAGUAUAAAAAGCCCUAUUUAAUAGCAAAAUUCUCUUCUCACCAGUCCAGACCAAAUCUCAAUGUUUAUUUGGUAUACUACAGGCCCAUAGAAAAACACAACCCUCCACUUUCAGUAUCUAUGAAAAACAGUUCAGUAUCAAAUUUAAGUCUACACCAAAGCUUCUUGGCAGUCACCCUAAGAAGAGAUUGAAAAGUGGCGGAAAAUUUUGAAUGAUUUUUUCAUAUCCUAAAAAGGAAGAAAAUAGUCAUAUGAGGUUAUAUACCUAAUGAUGAUGAUUAUAAUAAUAAAAGCUAAUGUAACUAAAUGAAAAUAUAAAACACAGAAUGGGUAAGAUCUGGUAAUUUAAUGUAAAGAAGUGACAAAGAGAAGGGAAGGAAGGAAGGAAGAAAAAAGGGUAAACCCUAGAAACUGAAUAGCCUUACACAGCAUAGGAGGAGUGAUGAUCCAAAAUAUGCUUUGAAGAAGUAGGGUCCAAAGGAAGGAUCCAAAAGGUACAAAAGAGAAUAUCCAAUUUUCCACAAUUAUGAUCACAGAUUGAAAGCAAUUUCCCUGUGCCAGGCGUUUCUCAAUCUCAACUUGUACAACAAAACAGUUUUCAUUACGCUCUUAACACUCUGGAUUUUAUCACCAUAUCACCAUUCCUCAAUAAUUUGCACACGAAUCUUCUAGAACUACCUAUCGUAAUCAAUUUCCAUACCAUAUAAUAAUUUACUGGGUUUAUCUUCAAAAUAUGCGAGAACUCUGACACAUUCAAGAUUACCACUACCGCUAAUAGUGUGCACAUAAAGUUGCCUUUUCUUACACGAACCAUAUACCAAAACAACAUAUUUCUUUGUUUUUUCAUUUGUCAAACGUUGACUACAGUGAUCUCUUGAAUCAUCUUUGAAUUGAAUUUGUAUAAGCCUAAUCCAAUCCAACUCAGGUCAUUUUCACACAUGAAUUUACACUCCAAAGUUAAUCCAAACGAACCAUUCAUAAUCAAAAUGGGAAUUGAAUUGUGUAAGAAUUGUCUCAAAAAUUGCAUUGAAGGCGUAGUGACAUGUUUUGAUUUUGAUGUGAUCAAUAAAAACAAGUAACUAGCAUGAAUGAAUGGAAUCAUUCUGAGUAGAUAAGGGUUACAUACCCAAAAAAACUCAAGAACCUUUCAAGGGGGAAUGCACCAUGUCCACACGUAUUCUUCAAAAUCCUCACUACCCACUCAAUUUGCA